CUGGGGGCAUAAUGGCAAUGGGCGAAGCCUGCACCAGCCAUGCCGCGUGUGUGAAGAAGGUCUUCGGCCUGUAAGCGCCCUCGGCCGGAACGAAACGGUGGCUGCUAACACCCUCCCCUACUGACGGUACCGGAGAUGAUGCACCGGCUAACUACGUGCCAGCAGCCGCGGUAAUACGUAGGGUGCGAGCGUUAAUCGGAAUUACUGGGCGUAAAGCGUGCGCAGGCGGUGGCUCAAGUCAGAUGUGAAAUCCCCAGGCUUAACCUGGGAAUUGCAUUUGAAACUAGGUCGCUAGAGUUUGGCAGAGGGGGGUGGAAUUCCACGUGUAGCAGUGAAAUGCGUAGAGAUGUGGAGGAACACCAAUGGCGAAGGCAGCCCCCUGGGCUAAAACUGACGCUCAUGCACGAAAGCGUGGGGAGCAAACAGGAUUAGAUACCCUGGUAGUCCACGCCCUAAACCAUGUCAACUAGUUGUCGGGAGAGCAAUCUCUUGGUAACGCAGCUAACGCGUGAAGCUGACCGCCU
Molecule: ribosomal RNA, 524 nt
Filed under: uncultured bacterium
Lineage: Bacteria
Description: bacterial SSU rRNA
Rfam family: Bacterial small subunit ribosomal RNA
Source: RNAcentral